UGGGGGAUCUUGCGCUAAUGCGCGAAAGCGUGACGCAGCGACGCCGCGUGGGGGAUGAAGGCCCUCGGGUUGUAAACCCCUUUCGGCAGGGACGAAGCGAAAGUGACGGUACCUGCAGAAGAAGUCCCGGCUAACUACGUGCCAGCAGCCGCGGUAACACGUAGGGGACGAGCGUUGUCCGGAUUCAUUGGGCGUAAAGCGCGCGUAGGCGGCUCGGAAAGUCGGUCGUGAAAGGCUGGGGCUCAACCCCAGGACUGCGUCCGAUACUUCCGGGCUGGAGGUAGGUAGGGGAGAUCGGAAUUCCUGGUGUAGCGGUGAAAUGCGCAGAUAUCAGGAGGAACACCGGUGGCGAAGGCGGAUCUCUGGGCCUUACCUGACGCUGAGGCGCGAAAGCUAGGGGAGCGAACAGGAUUAGAUACCCUGGUAGUCCUAGCCGCAAACGUUGGGUGCUAGGUGUGGGCGGACAUCGACCCCGUCCGUGCCGAAGCUAACGCAUUAAGCACCCGCCU
RNAcentral lists this ribosomal RNA (509 nucleotides) under uncultured Actinomycetes bacterium. RNAcentral describes it as "bacterial SSU rRNA". It matches the Rfam family "Bacterial small subunit ribosomal RNA", at positions 355 to 874 of the family's 1533-position model. Lineage: Bacteria; Bacillati; Actinomycetota; Actinomycetes. The record is from RNAcentral.